This 73-nucleotide transfer RNA is filed under the name Thermodesulfovibrionales bacterium. RNAcentral's name for it is "tRNA-Val". It matches the Rfam family "tRNA". Rfam says of the family: Transfer RNA (tRNA) molecules are approximately 80 nucleotides in length. Their secondary structure includes four short double-helical elements and three loops (D, anti-codon, and T loops). Further hydrogen bonds mediate the characteristic L-shaped molecular structure. tRNAs have two regions of fundamental functional importance: the anti-codon, which is responsible for specific mRNA codon recognition, and the 3' end, to which the tRNAs corresponding amino acid is attached (by aminoacyl-tRNA synthetases). tRNAs cope with the degeneracy of the genetic code in two manners: having more than one tRNA (with a specific anti-codon) for a particular amino acid; and 'wobble' base-pairing, i.e. permitting non-standard base-pairing at the 3rd anti-codon position. The record is from RNAcentral. Lineage: Bacteria; Pseudomonadati; Nitrospirota; Thermodesulfovibrionia; Thermodesulfovibrionales.
GGGCGGAUAGCUCAGCUGGGAGAGCGCAGCCCUUACAAGGCUGAGGUCACAGGUUCGAUCCCUGUUCCGCCUA